This is a non-coding RNA of Parelaphostrongylus tenuis, 71 nucleotides long. NCBI's taxonomy places the organism in Eukaryota, Metazoa, Nematoda, Chromadorea, Rhabditida, Metastrongylidae. The record is from the annotation of a GenBank genome assembly.
GUCUUGGUGGUGUAGUAGUAGCACGCGUCUCUGGUAUGGAUGAAACGCGAGUUCGACACCCGCCUGAGGUC